UACAUGGGGUGCAAACGUUGCUCGGAAUUAUUGGGCGUAAAGCGCACGUAGGUGGUCUGUUAUGUCAGAUGUGAAAGCCCUCGGCUUAACUGAGGAAGUGCACCUGAAACUGGCAGGCUUGAGUACGGAAGGGGCAACUGGAAUUCUCGGUGUAGCGGUGAAAUGCGUAGAUAUCGAGAGGAACACCUGCGGCGAAGGCGGGUUGCUGGGCCGACACUGACGCUGAAGCGCGAAAGCUAGGGGAGCGAACGGG
RNAcentral lists this ribosomal RNA (253 nucleotides) under uncultured prokaryote. Its description in RNAcentral is "partial 16S ribosomal RNA". It matches the Rfam family "Bacterial small subunit ribosomal RNA", at positions 524 to 776 of the family's 1533-position model. The record is from RNAcentral.